RNAcentral lists this ribosomal RNA (269 nucleotides) under uncultured prokaryote. Its description in RNAcentral is "partial 16S ribosomal RNA". It matches the Rfam family "Bacterial small subunit ribosomal RNA", at positions 524 to 792 of the family's 1533-position model. The record is from RNAcentral.
AACGUAGGAGGCAAGCGUUAUCCGGAUUUACUGGGCGUAAAGCGCGUGUAGGCGGUUUGGUAAGUUGGAUGUGAAAUCUCCCGGCUUAACUGGGAGGGGUCGUUCAAUACUGCCAGACUUGAGGGCGGAAGAGGGGAGUGGAAUUUCCGGUGUAGUGGUGAAAUGCGUAGAUAUCGGAAGGAACACCAGUGGCGAAGGCGGCUCCCUGGUCCGUGCCUGACGCUAAGACGCGAAAGCUAGGGUAGCAAAUGGGAUUAGAUACCCGCGUA